AAUGGAAAAUCGCUUGGUUAAAACCUGACACUUAACAGGUAUGUGUUGUUUUAGUACUUUAUGAUUGAGCAUAGCAUUUAAUCCACACCUAGACUAAACCGAAUUUUUUUUGUCAUUGAACAGCAUUCUGAGUGUGGACGAGUAGCCAGUGAAGAUAAUGAAUGUCGGAUGUCACUGACUAGCAGCUUCAUUUUGAAGUAGGUUGUAUGGCUUAAAAGUUCUGUAGUGUUUGUACUGUAAUACUUGCCUUUUAGCUUUACCUUGGUUUGUGGUCAGUGUCACAGAAGUGCAGUUUAAUGUGUGUACAUGUACAAGGUCUCAUUGGUCUAAUCAAUGAUGAAACCUAUCCCGAAGCUGAUAACCUGAAGAAAAAUAAGUACGGAUUCGGCUUCUGAGAUUAAGACCAGUAAUUCAGAGGUGGAGUAAAUUUUGUUGCCGUGAUUUUUUAACAGUUGUGUUAUAAAAUCCUGGGGUUUUUUUUUUUUCUGCCAACAGUGAGGGUCGCUGUCUGCCCAUUGAUAGAGGCCAGAUUGUCUUGGAAGUUCCAAAGUUGCAACGAUUUCUGGCUAGUGCCACGAGGUUUACUUGACUGUUGUGUGAAAAGCUGAUAAGAAAACCAUCCAGAAAACAGCUCUUCGUUUUACAAACAUGAAAAUAAAACAUGUAAUUUUGGA
RNAcentral lists this small RNA (674 nucleotides) under Pongo abelii (Sumatran orangutan). RNAcentral's name for it is "retained intron". The stretch from base 329 to 398 matches the Rfam family "Small nucleolar RNA SNORD50". The record is from RNAcentral. Lineage: Eukaryota; Metazoa; Chordata; Mammalia; Primates; Hominidae.